GCCCUGGUGGCGCAGUGGUUAAAUGCCUGUACUGCAGCCACAAGGUUGCGAGUUCAAUACCAGCCCGGGCUG
Non-coding RNA from Phrynosoma platyrhinos (Desert horned lizard), 72 nucleotides. The record is from the annotation of a GenBank genome assembly. NCBI's taxonomy places the organism in Eukaryota, Metazoa, Chordata, Lepidosauria, Squamata, Phrynosomatidae.